This 253-nucleotide ribosomal RNA is filed under the name uncultured bacterium. RNAcentral describes it as "partial 16S ribosomal RNA". It matches the Rfam family "Bacterial small subunit ribosomal RNA", at positions 524 to 776 of the family's 1533-position model. The record is from RNAcentral.
UACGGAGGGUGCAAACGUUGCUCGGAAUUAUUGGGCGUAAAGCGCACGUAGGCGGCCGACUAAGUCGGGUGUGAAAGCCCAGGGCUCAACCCUGGAAGUGCACUCGAAACUGGUCGGCUUGAAUAUGGAAGAGGGUCGCGGAAUUCCCGGUGUAGAGGUGAAAUUCGUAGAUAUCGGGAGGAACACCAGUGGCGAAGGCGGCUCACUGGCCCGGUACUGACGCUGAGGUGCGAAAGCGUGGGGAGCAAACAGG